Molecule: ribosomal RNA, 475 nt
Filed under: uncultured bacterium
Lineage: Bacteria
Description: partial 16S ribosomal RNA
Rfam family: Bacterial small subunit ribosomal RNA
Source: RNAcentral
GAUGAACGCUGGCGGCGCGCCUAACACAUGCAAGUCGAACGGCACCCACCCUCGGGUGGAAGCGAGUGGCGAACGGCUGAGUAACACGUGGAGAACCUGCCCCCUCCCCCGGGAUAGCCGCCCGAAAGGACGGGUAAUACCGGAUACCCCGGGGUGCCGCAUGGCACCCCGGCUAAAGCCCCGACGGGAGGGGAUGGCUCCGCGGCCCAUCAGGUAGACGGCGGGGUGACGGCCCACCGUGCCGACAACGGGUAGCCGGGUUGAGAGACCGACCGGCCAGAUUGGGACUGAGACACGGCCCAGACUCCUACGGGAGGCAGCAGUGGGGAAUCUUGCGCAAUGGGGGGAACCCUGACGCAGCGGCGCCGCGUGCGGGACGGAGGCCUUCGGGUCGUAAACCGCUUUCAGCAGGGAAGAGUCAAGACUGUACCUGCAGAAGAAGCCCCGGCUAACUACGUGCCAGCCGCCGCCGUAA